RNAcentral lists this ribosomal RNA (446 nucleotides) under uncultured prokaryote. RNAcentral's name for it is "bacterial SSU rRNA". It matches the Rfam family "Bacterial small subunit ribosomal RNA", at positions 355 to 796 of the family's 1533-position model. The record is from RNAcentral.
UCGAGAAUCUUCCGCAAUGGGCGAAAGCCUGACGGAGCGACACCGCGUGCAGGAUGAAGGCCUUCGGGUUGUAAACUGCUGUCACGCUAUAGGAAUUCCCUGUCGUUAAUAGCUGCAGGGUUGACUAAAGCGAGAGGAAGCACCGGCUAACUCCGUGCCAGCAGCCGCGGUAAGACGGAGGGUGCAAACGUUGUUCGGAAUUAUUGGGCAUAAAGCGCACGUAGGCGGUUCGUUAAGUCAGUCGUGAAAUCCCUCGGCUCAACCGGGGAACUGCGUUUGAUACUGGCGAACUCGAGGACGGUAGGGGUGAGUGGAACUCCAGGUGGAGCGGUGAAAUGCGUAGAUAUCUGGAGGAACACCGGUGGCGAAAGCGGCUCACUGGACCGUAUCUGACGCUGAGGUGCGAAAGCUAGGGUAGCAAACGGGAUUAGAUACCCCCGUAGUCC